This is a transfer RNA of 113 nucleotides. It matches the Rfam family "tRNA". From Rfam's summary of the family: Transfer RNA (tRNA) molecules are approximately 80 nucleotides in length. Their secondary structure includes four short double-helical elements and three loops (D, anti-codon, and T loops). The record is from Rfam.
GGUAACUUGGCCGAGCGGUCUAAGGCGCCAGACUCAAGCGUAAGCUUCGUCCUCUUCAGAGGACGUGUAUUCUGGUCUCGCAAGAGGCGUGAGUUCGAAUCUCACAGUUAUCA